RNAcentral lists this ribosomal RNA (1365 nucleotides) under Triticum aestivum (bread wheat). RNAcentral describes it as "partial small subunit ribosomal RNA". The record is from RNAcentral. Lineage: Eukaryota; Viridiplantae; Streptophyta; Magnoliopsida; Poales; Poaceae.
AUGUCGGCGGAAGACUCGGACCACGGCGGCGCCGUCCACGUCCUCCUGCUCCCGUACCCGAGCCAGGGCCACAUCAACCCGUUCCUCCAGUUCGGCAAGCGACUCGCCUCCCACGCCGGCGUCCGCUGCACGCUCGCCGUCACGCGCUAUCUGCUUGGCCAGGGCCGGGACCCGUGCCCGGGCGCCGUCCACCUCGCCGAGAUCUCCGACGGCUUCGACUGCGGCGGCUUCGCCGAGGCCGCCGGCGACGUCGCCGCGUACCUCGCCCGGCUGGAGUCCGUCGGCUCCCGCACCGUCGACGAGUUGCUGCGGUCUGAGGCGGAGAAGGGCCGGCCCGUGCGCGCCGUCGUGUACGACGCGUUACUGCAGCCGUGGGCGCCAAGCGUGGCGCGGCGGCACGGCGCUGCGUGCGCGUCCCUCUUCACGCAGGCGCCCGCAGUGAACGUAGCCUACGCGCACGCCGGGGCUGGGCGGCUGACAGUGCCGGUUGUAGCUGGCACGGUGCCGCCGGAGCUUCUCGGGCUGCCGGCCGGGCUUGGACCGGACGAUGUGCCGUCAUUCUUGGGCAAACCCGACGAGUGCCCUGCGUCCCUGGACCUGCUGGUGACUGGUGAGACAGAAUCGGAGUACAUGGCGUCGAUGUGCGGGGCCAAGACGGUGGGCCCGACGGUGCCGUCGGCGUACCUCGACAACCGCCUGCCGGACGACGCGUCCUACGGCUUCCACCUGCACACGCCGACGACGGCCGCGACCAAGGCGUGGCUGGACGCCCGGCCGGCGCGCUCCGUCGCGUACGUCUCCUUCGGCAGCAUCGCCGCGCUGGGGCUGGAGCAGAUGGCGGAGGUGGCGGAGGGCCUUUUCAACACCGGCGCGCCAUUCCUGUGGGUGGUCAGGGCCUCGGAGACGUCCAAGAUCCCGGACGGCUUCGCCGACAAGGUGGGAGAGAACGGGCUGAUCGUGCCGUGGACGGCGCAGCUGGAGGUGCUGGCGCACGGCGCCGUGGGGUGCUUCGUGACGCACUGCGGGUGGAACUCGACAACGGAGGCGCUGAGCGCCGGGGUGCCGAUGGUGGCGGUGCCGCACUGGUCGGACCAGCCGACGAACGCCAAGUACAUCGAGGACGUGUGGCGCGUCGGCGCGCGCGCGCGGCCGGACGCGGGUGGGGUGGUGAGGCGGGAGGAGGUGGAGCGGUGCGUGAAGGAGGUGAUGGGGAGCGAGCAGUACCGGACGAGGGCGGCGGAGUGGAGUGGGAAGACGAAGGCGGCCAUGAGCGAAGGCGGGAGCUCCGACUGCAACAUCGUGGAGUUUCUCCGUGGACUCGGGUCGAGGAAAUCCGAGCGGUCCGGAGCGGCGGAAGAUCUGUAG